Molecule: ribosomal RNA, 954 nt
Filed under: Alternaria alternata
Lineage: Eukaryota; Fungi; Ascomycota; Dothideomycetes; Pleosporales; Pleosporaceae
Description: partial large subunit ribosomal RNA
Rfam family: Eukaryotic large subunit ribosomal RNA
Source: RNAcentral
GGAUCAGGUAGGGAUACCCGCUGAACUUAAGCAUAUCAAUAAGCGGAGGAAAAGAAACCAACAGGGAUUGCCCUAGUAACGGCGAGUGAAGCGGCAACAGCUCAAAUUUGAAAUCUGGCUCUUUUAGAGUCCGAGUUGUAAUUUGCAGAGGGCGCUUUGGCUUUGGCAGCGGUCCAAGUUCCUUGGAACAGGACGUCACAGAGGGUGAGAAUCCCGUACGUGGUCGCUGGCUAUUGCCGUGUAAAGCCCCUUCGACGAGUCGAGUUGUUUGGGAAUGCAGCUCUAAAUGGGAGGUACAUUUCUUCUAAAGCUAAAUAUUGGCCAGAGACCGAUAGCGCACAAGUAGAGUGAUCGAAAGAUGAAAAGCACUUUGGAAAGAGAGUCAAACAGCACGUGAAAUUGUUGAAAGGGAAGCGCUUGCAGCCAGACUUGCUUACAGUUGCUCAUCCGGGUUUCUACCCGGUGCACUCUUCUGUAGGCAGGCCAGCAUCAGUUUGGGCGGUAGGAUAAAGGUCUCUGUCACGUACCUCCUUUCGGGGAGGCCUUAUAGGGGAGACGACAUACUACCAGCCUGGACUGAGGUCCGCGCAUCUGCUAGGAUGCUGGCGUAAUGGCUGUAAGCGGCCCGUCUUGAAACACGGACCAAGGAGUCUAACAUCUAUGCGAGUGUUUGGGUGUCAAGCCCGAGCGCGUAAUGAAAGUGAACGGAGGUGGGAACCCGCAAGGGUGCACCAUCGACCGAUCCUGAUGUCUUCGGAAGGAUUUGAGUAAGAGCAUGGCUGUUGGGACCCGAAAGAUGGUGAACUAUGCUUGAAUAGGGUGAAGCCAGAGGAAACUCUGGUGGAGGCUCGCAGCGGUUCUGACGUGCAAAUCGAUCGUCAAAUUUGGGCAUAGGGGCGAAAGACUAAUCGAACUAUCUAGUAGCUGGUUCCUGCCGAAGUUUCCCUCAGGAUA